RNAcentral lists this ribosomal RNA (2907 nucleotides) under Triticum aestivum (bread wheat). Its description in RNAcentral is "partial small subunit ribosomal RNA". The record is from RNAcentral. Lineage: Eukaryota; Viridiplantae; Streptophyta; Magnoliopsida; Poales; Poaceae.
AGGCACGCCUCAUCCCUCUCGUCUCGUCUCCCCUCUCUAUAUCGCACUCAACCUCUCCCCUCCCGCAAAAUUUACUCGAUCCGGCGAUGCGCCCGCGCCACUGCCGGCGUGCUCCUUUUUGGUCCUCCCCUUCCACCGGAUCGGCCGAUGAGCGGAUUUGCUAGAGGCGGUCGACCAGUGGAGGUGAGGAGGUUAUCCCCGAUGCCCACAUUCCCGAUGCUCGUCUUUUCCUCUCCCAAGUGGCUGCUAGGGUUGCCCCCGCCAUCGCCGCCCCCAUCCCACCUCCUCCGGCGCUGCCCAUCUCCCUUGAGUAGUGCGGUCUGGCGCUCAGCUACGAGGGCAAGGAUCCCCAGCCGCACCAUCCACGUCCUUGCCGUUGUGAUCGCCGCGUCGGGAAGGCAGCACGAACACGCGAUUAGAGGAUCCAGGAGGUUGGUACAUGAGGACGUGGGAAACCAAUGAGGAAGAUGACUGGCGAGAAGGCUGGUUGUGUUUUUUUUCUAGAAGUAAGGCUGGUUGUGGUCAUGGUGCAUUCUAGAGGAAGAGGAUGAAGCUGUAUAAAAGACUGCCGAAUUCUUCCUGUUCUAGCAGGUAAAAACUGAACCUGUAUGUUUUGAAAUUUGGGACACAUUUUAAAAACUGGACCUUUACUGUUUGUUCAAAGGAAAUUUACUCUUGCAGAUAUAUACUCUCAUGAUUCGUUGAUAAUAUGUACUGCAGAUUCAUCAUGUACUAAAAAAAAAAUCCUUUGUGAUGCAUCAUAUGAUUUAGUUAUCUUUUACACCUCCUCUUUGGACUUGUUCAUUGUCAACAGCUUUACACAUGGAUCUCAUAUAUCUCAUUUGUAAGGUAAUAGUUCAAAGGUUAAAUGUCUAUGUUUUUUAGCCUGUCUAUCUAAUGGGCACUUAAACUGUAGUUUUUUUUAAUCCUGAUUCGGUUGAGAUACUUUAAAAAUUGAGUGUUAUUCACCUGCCGAUGUGUGAUUCAAUGUAGGGGUAAAGCAACAACGGAGAAAUUUUGAAUUUCACAUAUUGAUCAGUUUAUUUCAAGAGCGCAGGUCAUUUUUCUGUAUGCUGGAUGAAUAGCUCCCUUCUUCAGUAUGUACUUCUAUUGGAAGGACCGAAGAGAAAAUUCAGUGUUUAUACUACUCCGUUUCCAGAAUAGUUAUGCUCUUUCUGCGAAAUCAAACGAGUCAGUGAUACAAAAAUAGUGUUGUUUUUUCUCCUUUUGUUAAUGAUUUGUUCUAACUAUAACGUUAGCAUGAAUUGUAAUGGUGAAAUUAUCCCUACUGCAGAAUAAGUUGGCAUGAAGCAAUCUGUUCCCAAAAUAAUGUAUACAUGUAUUAAUGCCAAUCUCAUGUUUUCCUUCUUUUGCUGAGCUCUAUAUGAACAGUUCUCUAUGUGUAAGUGGUCCAUAUGGAUUUUUAGUAUAUCAUGCUAUGUACAAGUAGUUCUAUAUAUUCAGGUUAGGUAUGAUGGAUAGUGUCAGAUUACUGGGCAUUUAUGUAUAAUUAAAAUUAUAUUAUGAUGCAUUUAUGUAUCCUUAAAGUUCUAUUAUGUUGUUGUGUUAUAUACGAAAAUUGCUGCGUCGAGUUCAGGUAUGGCUCUUUGUGCUACAUCCUCUCUUCUACCUCUGCCUCUGUCAAGCACCACAGAUCCAAUAAGUUGACCUCCUCCCUCUAUUCUUUUAACGUUCUCUAUUUCGACAUAACCAAAUCUUUAAUAGUAAACUGAACUAUGGUCAUUUGGUGUAUCUUGUUUAUAUUAUGACCAAGUGCUGAAAUAGAAAGUGAUGAAAUUGAAGGCCUUUGUCUUUGUUCCAUGGCUCUCAAGUCUGCCACUCCAUCUACUAUGGGAUCACACCAAUUGCUAGAUCUAAUAUGUCAUCUGCUCCUGUACUAAUUAGUAUCUCACGGGCCUUCAGGUUCUGAUGCAAUUUAGAAAAUCCCUCUUUAAGCAAAAGUCUGGUUGACAAUAUAAAACUGUAGCUCUGAAUUUAGUAAUCACUUACCCUCACAAGCAUGUUGAUAAAUUAGCAAGAUGACUAGCUACCUAGCAUAUAUUACUUUUCCUUUUUUUAGAAACUCUAAGUUGUUGGUUCUAAUGUCUUACUGAUUAGAAGCAAUAAUAAAGAUUACCUAUGGUGACAUGACUUGAUAUUCUGAUUGACUUGUUGCCUUCUCUUACAAGUAAACAUGUGUAGCUACUUCGUUCCCUAAUUUUACUGAUGCAUUUUAUUCUGGUAUGUAUCUCAUUUUCGAAGUGGUACAUGUGUUGUAUUAGAAAACACUCUAUAUUGAUUACCUUUUUCCCUUUCUACUCCUUAACCUCAGUUCUCCCUGGUAUCUCUUUUGAGCUCUGACGUAGCAACAAGACAAUCUAGCUAGGUUACUCUGCACAUACCUUCCCUGUGAUGUCACAUUUGCUGUACCCUUGGCUCUUGUUCUUAUUUUGUAGGUAGUCACAUUGCUGUCAUAUUUGUCCUAUAUGAAAACGAAUGCGAUAUAGGACAACCUUGGACGUGGGGAAAAGGGGAGGCAAAGGGCAGUAAAAUCUCAACCAAGGGCGAUGUCCGCAGCUAUGGCAUUGUUCUUCUGGAAAUGCCAGAAAUGACCUACCCAUGAAUAAUUCGAUGAUGGAUUUAUGCUUCGCAAGUAUGUAGAGGCAUCUCUUUCAUGGACUGAAGACAUUCUUCACCUCAACCUUAUUUCAGAAAUAUGAGAUCAACAGGUCGAUCUUAUCCUCAAACUUGCAAGAAUACAAGAAAUUUAUGCUGAAUGAUAUAUGUGCUCUUGGACUCUUUAAAUUUGGCAUUUCAUGCUUUUGUAGAAUCACCAAAAGAAAUACACAUGUAUGAAACUGCUAUGCUUGCCCUGCUUUAUCAAUGCACAAUCUUGCUGUUGUAGUU